CUCAUAUUGAACGCUGGCGGCAGGCCUAACACAUGCAAGUCGAGCGGUAGCACAGAGAGCUUGCUCUCGGGUGACGAGCGGCGGACGGGUGAGUAAUGUCUGGGAAACUGCCUGAUGGAGGGGGAUAACUACUGGAAACGGUAGCUAAUACCGCAUAACGUCGCAAGACCAAAGUGGGGGACCUUCGGGCCUCAUGCCAUCAGAUGUGCCCAGAUGGGAUUAGCUAGUAGGUGGGGUAACGGCUCACCUAGGCGACGAUCCCUAGCUGGUCUGAGAGGAUGACCAGCCACACUGGAACUGAGACACGGUCCAGACUCCUACGGGAGGCAGCAGUGGGGAAUAUUGCACAAUGGGCGCAAGCCUGAUGCAGCCAUGCCGCGUGUGUGAAGAAGGCCUUCGGGUUGUAAAGCACUUUCAGCGGGGAGGAAGGCGGUGAGGUUAAUAACCUCAUCGAUUGACGUUACCCGCAGAAGAAGCACCGGCUAACUCCGUGCCAGCAGCCGCGGUAAUACGGAGGGUGCAAGCGUUAAUCGGAAUUACUGGGCGUAAAGCGCACGCAGGCGGUCUGUCAAGUCGGAUGUGAAAUCCCCGGGCUCAACCUGGGAACUGCAUUCGAAACUGGCAGGCUAGAGUCUUGUAGAGGGGGGUAGAAUUCCAGGUGUAGCGGUGAAAUGCGUAGAGAUCUGGAGGAAUACCGGUGGCGAAGGCGGCCCCCUGGACAAAGACUGACGCUCAGGUGCGAAAGCGUGGGGAGCAAACAGGAUUAGAUACCCUGGUAGUCCACGCCGUAAACGAUGUCGAUUUGGAGGUUGUGCCCUUGAGGCGUGGCUUCCGGAGCUAACGCGUUAAAUCGACCGCCUGGGGAGUACGGCCGCAAGGUUAAAACUCAAAUGAAUUGACGGGGGCCCGCACAAGCGGUGGAGCAUGUGGUUUAAUUCGAUGCAACGCGAAGAACCUUACCUGGUCUUGACAUCCACAGAACUUUCCAGAGAUGGAUUGGUGCCUUCGGGAACUGUGAGACAGGUGCUGCAUGGCUGUCGUCAGCUCGUGUUGUGAAAUGUUGGGUUAAGUCCCGCAACGAGCGCAACCCUUAUCCUUUGUUGCCAGCGGUUAGGCCGGGAACUCAAAGGAGACUGCCAGUGAUAAACUGGAGGAAGGUGGGGAUGACGUCAAGUCAUCAUGGCCCUUACGACCAGGGCUACACACGUGCUACAAUGGCAUAUACAAAGAGAAGCGACCUCGCGAGAGCAAGCGGACCUCAUAAAGUAUGUCGUAGUCCGGAUUGGAGUCUGCAACUCGACUCCAUGAAGUCGGAAUCGCUAGUAAUCGUAGAUCAGAAUGCUACGGUGAAUACGUUCCCGGGCCUUGUACACACCGCCCGUCACACCAUGGGAGUGGGUUGCAAAAGAAGUAGGUAGCUUAACCUUCGGGAGGGCGCUUACCACUUUGUGAUUCAUGAC
RNAcentral lists this ribosomal RNA (1460 nucleotides) under uncultured organism. Its description in RNAcentral is "SSU rRNA". It matches the Rfam family "Bacterial small subunit ribosomal RNA". The record is from RNAcentral.